AAUGAAGUGUCUGAUUAAAAGAAUUAUUUUGAUAGAAUAAAGUAUGUGAAAAUAUUCACCUUCAUUA
Molecule: transfer RNA, 67 nt
Filed under: Onitis alexis
Lineage: Eukaryota; Metazoa; Arthropoda; Insecta; Coleoptera; Scarabaeidae
Description: tRNA-Ile
Source: RNAcentral